This is a non-coding RNA of Paramuricea clavata, 290 nucleotides long. NCBI's taxonomy places the organism in Eukaryota, Metazoa, Cnidaria, Anthozoa, Malacalcyonacea, Plexauridae. The record is from the annotation of a GenBank genome assembly.
AUAAGAGUGGCAAUGAUUCGAAAACAUGCUCAUAUUUCAAUGAAUUGAAUGAAAUAUAUUUGCAUGCAACCGGCAGUUGAUAAUAAAGUCAAAUCUGAUGAGCAAAAAAAUUACUGGUAAGCAGAAGAAAAAGAAAAAACUGAGCAUUGGUGAAAGCCUUACAAAGGCCCAAGAUGAUCUGAAGGAGGAAAAUAAGAAAAAAAAGUUAUAAAUGGAAGAAAUGGAUAGGGAAAAAUGGAGCGUUUCGACUGCUUGCUAAAUCUAUACAAAAAGGAUCUUUCUAUGCAAUU